AGCAACCCCUGCCUGGGCUCAGACCCCCAGGACCUCUUCUCCACGGCCUCACGCCUUGCCCACCACUGCAGAGCGGCAGCAUCAGGCUAAGACGCCACUGCCACCCUGCCGAGUGAUGCCACACCGAGGGAGGACUCCGACGCCGAGGAGGAUUGGUUGACACUGAAGGUCAUAUCGGAAUCGCUAUCAUCCUGGGAGCCGC
Tupaia belangeri chinensis (Chinese tree shrew) is the source of this 202-nucleotide long non-coding RNA. RefSeq lists it as uncharacterized. Lineage: Eukaryota; Metazoa; Chordata; Mammalia; Scandentia; Tupaiidae. The record is from RefSeq and is a predicted model, not a curated record. The transcript is spliced from 3 exons.